Molecule: long non-coding RNA, 735 nt
Organism: Daphnia carinata
Lineage: Eukaryota; Metazoa; Arthropoda; Branchiopoda; Diplostraca; Daphniidae
Exons: 4
Source: RefSeq, a predicted model, not a curated record
GGGCAGCCACUUUAUUCAACCCGGAAAAUUGGCCUUAGCUUUACGAACAUUGGGAAAUGUCAAAUAACUUAAAACUUACCAUUAACGCUGCACAAGCCACAAACAAGACGGACAGGGCCAUUCACCACCACUUGAAUUGCAGCGUUCUCUACGAACGACUAAUUUCAGACUGAUGUGACAGAAGGCUAGCAAAGUCAGGCUCCACAUCCUGAUUGGAAAUAACCUCGAGAAUGAUCUUCUGGUAUGGCGAAGAUAGUAGUCCUAACUUAUACGAGAAAGGGAUAGUUCUUCCGGUUGGCCUGAUUGAACCCUCGAGAACGGGGUACAUCUUUAGCCGGAUGCAAAACUUAUAAACCUACGAAAUGAUAAGAUGUUGCUGCCGGUCGGUUAUUAUUUUUUCCCGCUGGCGGCGCUUGCUUCAGUAUGGGCAAGCUGAUUGGAAUAGCUGCUAAAUGUCAACAACGAUAAACUGGAUUCCUGAACUUUGCAAAUACGUACACUUUAAGAAAAGUAACACCUUUCAACAAUUUAUCCCAAGUCCAGAAAAGUCCCAUUAACUAAGUGGUUCACCGACCUUGUAAUUCUCCCAACUAUUAUCAUGCUCUGUCAAGUUUACAUAUGAAUCCAUUAGUUCUCUCUGAACUCAACUUGCCGAUGCGCAAUGCUACCCCUUAAUCUCUUCUACCAGGAUUGGCAAUGUCAUUCGCUAGAUAAUUUAAUGCAAUAAGCUAUAUU